CCAUUUUUUUUUAUUUUGCGCAAACGUAAAGGUAUUUUGCAAUUUUAUUUUUUCCCGUGAUUUUUAAUUCCCAGGAGAAUAUAUAUGCUUUGUUUUCAUGUUGAUGUUGAUUUCAUAGUUGAAAUUUGACUUUAUAAUGAUGAAUCCUCUUUGAUUAAAUAUGAUAAGUAUCUUGUUUGUGCGCGCUAAAGCAAAUUACGGAAGUGGUUUGAGAGCAGCUGCGACGUGCCAUGCAAAUGAUCAUCAAGGCGUUCCGGUUAAAUGAGUAUGAG
Paramuricea clavata is the source of this 272-nucleotide non-coding RNA. The record is from the annotation of a GenBank genome assembly. NCBI's taxonomy places the organism in Eukaryota, Metazoa, Cnidaria, Anthozoa, Malacalcyonacea, Plexauridae.